GAUGAACGCUGGCGGCGUGCUUAACACAUGCAAGUCGAACGAAGAACCUUAUUUGAUUUCCUUCGGGACUGAUUAUUUUGUGACUGAGUGGCGGACGGGUGAGUAACGCGUGGGUAACCUGCCUUGUACAGGGGGGUGACAGUUGGAAACGGCUGCUAAUACCGCAUAAGCGCACAGCAUCGCAUGCUGCGGUGUGGGAAAGUCCGGUGGCAUAAGAUGGAGCCGCGUUGGAUUAGCGAGUUGGUGAGGUUACGGCCCACCAAGGCGACGAUGCAUAGCCGAGCGGGGAGUGUGACCGGUCACAUUGGGACUGAGACACAGCCCAAAAUCCGACGGGAGGGAGGAGUGGAGUAUACUGCAGAAGGGGCGAAAGUCUGAUGCAGCGACGCCGCGUGAGAGAAGAAGCAGGUUGGUAUGCAAAGCUCUAUCAGCAGGGAAGAUAAUGACGGUACCUGAUAAAGAAGCACCGGCUAAAUACGUG
Molecule: ribosomal RNA, 481 nt
Filed under: uncultured bacterium
Lineage: Bacteria
Description: partial 16S ribosomal RNA
Rfam family: Bacterial small subunit ribosomal RNA
Source: RNAcentral